This is a long non-coding RNA of Dioscorea cayenensis subsp. rotundata (Guinea yam), 220 nucleotides long. RefSeq lists it as uncharacterized. Lineage: Eukaryota; Viridiplantae; Streptophyta; Magnoliopsida; Dioscoreales; Dioscoreaceae. The record is from RefSeq and is a predicted model, not a curated record. The transcript has 2 exons.
GGAGUCUUAGAAGUUGAAGGAUUCUCUUUUAGAUCAAAAGUGAUAGAUCGGCGUGGAUCUUGAGAGAUUGUCUGUAGUUGUUGUCUUAUCCUAUUGUAAAUGUUAAGUUCUUGUUAUUGUGUAUCCCUGUAUUUUGUAUUUUGGACUUCUAUAUCCAAGUAUUGUGUACUUUGUAGAGUUUGUAAUCUUGUAACUCAGUUGGGUUAUUAUAGUUUUGCCA